This is a long non-coding RNA of Salvelinus fontinalis (brook trout), 2474 nucleotides long. RefSeq lists it as uncharacterized. The record is from RefSeq and is a predicted model, not a curated record. Lineage: Eukaryota; Metazoa; Chordata; Actinopteri; Salmoniformes; Salmonidae. The transcript has 3 exons.
GGAGCGAUAGGUACCGAUGCUUUGAGGGUGGCUGUUGUCUAUGUGUGUAGAGGGUCCCCGGUUUGAGCCCAGGUAGGAGCGAGGAGAGGGAGGAGAGGGACUGAAGCAAAACUGUUACACGGACACCAUUUUAAUCCUCUUUGUAAUUUUGUAAGUCUGGGCAGCGAGCUCAUUUGUCAUCGAUCGCUAGACCAGAAAUAGUCAGAAGUUUUUUAUUUUUUCCCCUACUUUUUCAUUACGCAGACAUAAGCACAGUUGACUCCAUCGAGGUGUGGAUGUUUACUUUCUACACAAGUUGUUUUUUUACUGUUUCGUCCGACGAACAGAUUGUAGUGGUAAAGUAAAAAGACAUACAUUUUUAAUGGCAUCACUCCAGUCAAAACAGGCUCUGCGAACGUUCAAUUCCAUUAAUUUGCUAUGGGCUCGCGCUAGUGUUCCAGUUUAGCCGUGGGUGAAUUUUGACUCGUUCUAUUGUCCAGCCUAUAGACAGCCAUAGCGAAUUUACGAAAGCACCCGAAUAUCCAUUGAGAAAGCAAAAUGACUAUACCAUUUCGCUAAGCUAAGAAUCACGAGAAUAAUCAAGUCAAUAAGUGUUGGGUAGUUAGAUAGCCUAUAGUUAUAUACUGGCACGUUUGCUGUAUAACUACUAACGUUAGUUAGCUAGCUAACAUACCGGUACGUACUGCUGUAAUUAUAUGCUAUGUGGUUCGUAAGGACAGUGGAGCUAACAAAUUGUCAGCCAACAUAACGUGUAAGGUAACUUAUUUGAAAAGUCAUUACUUUAUUACAUUGAGUAGCAAGCUACACCUUGGUUGUUAGGGCAAAUCUGGUCUGAUAGGAGUUUUUUUCCACACCUAGCUCGGCUAUUUGACUAUUUUUUAGUGAAGGUUGAAUAGUCUAUUGUUCAGCUAUUAGCCCCCUUCCCCAACUUGCAACAAAUUGUUGUUCCCGUCUCAUUCCUUUCCCUCUUCCACGCGUCAUCAUUCUGCUCCUGAGUGGCAUGCUGGCAGGAUAUGGCAGCAUCUUUGGAUGUGCGUCAAGAAUUCUGCAUACAGUAGCACGUUUGUAUGAAGGUGUGGUUAUUCACAGGCAAAUUGUUAUAUGCUAUGUAGGUACAUUUGUGUCUUUUUGUCUAUUUUCAAUUGAAAAGAAUUGUUCUGAAAGCAACUUUUUUCCGACAAAAGGAAGCGUCGGAAGCGGACACCUACGAAGAUGGCAUCUCAGAUAAACAGCACUGGGCUGUAUUGACGUAUCCUAAAAAUGACAUAUGUUGCUUUAGAUUGAACAGUCAUAUCUCAGUUAUUGUUUUCAUAUCUAUAAAAAAUAAGCUGUUUUCUUUACUUUCAGUUCGCUGAUCAAGGGGUCGAAAAUGUAGAUAUUGCCAGAUGUUCACUGUCCGAGGAACAGGCCGUGGAAGCUUUAUUGCUGGCAAAAGUGUCCAUAAGCAGAGAUCUACACCAGAUAAACACAACCAAUUUCACUGUUGCUAUCUGUUGCUGCCAAGUCAUGAUUUCCCUGGGGGUUAGCCUUUCAAUAUCCAAGUGGUUAUAUCAGCUGUUUUGGUGAACCCCUCCCGCAUCUGAACUGGCUGACACAGAGGGCACAGCAUGAUCAUAGGUGAGAUGUCACUUGGUCGGGUCACCAGGAUUAUUAAAGAGAUGGGUCUUUCAAAUGGACAUUGACCCCAAGCAUACUUCCAAAGUUGUGGCAAAAUGGCUUAAGGACAACAAAGUCAAGGUAUUGGAGUGGCCAUCACAAAGCCCUGACCUCAAUCCUAUAGAAAAUGUGUGGGCAGAACUGAAAAGCGUGUGCGAUCAAGGAGGCCUACAAACUUGACUUAGAUACACAAGCUCUGUCAUGAGGAAUAGGCCAAAAUUCACCCAACUUAUUGUGGGAAGCUUGUGGAAGGCUAUCCGAAAUGUUUGACCCAAGUUAAACAAUUUAAAGGCAAUGCUACCAAAUACUAAUUGAGUGUAUGUAAACUUCGGACCCACUGGGAAUGUGAUGAAAAAAAUAAAAGCUGAAAUAAAUCAUUCUCUCUACUAUUAUUCUGACAUUUCAUGUUCUUAAAAUAAAGUGGUGAUCCUAACUGACCUGUCACGCCCUGGCCUUAGUUAUCUUUGUUUUUGUUAUUAUUUUAGUUAGGUCAGAGUGUGACAUGGGGAAGGUAUGUGUUUUUGUAGUGUCUAGGGGUGUUGUAUGUGUAUGGGGCAGUGUCUAGUGUAGUUGUCUAGGUAAGUCUAUGGUUGCCUGAAGGGUUCUCAAUCAGAGACAGCUGUCAUUCAUUGUCUCUGAUUGGGAGCCAUAUUUAAGGCAGCCAUAGGCAUUAGGUUAAUGUGGGUAAUUGUCUAUGUUGUACGUUUGUAGCUUGUGUGUGCACUUACGCCUAUAGCUUCACGAUCGUUUGUUGUUUUGUUUUGUAAAAGUGUUAGUUUCGUGUUUCGUCAUCUUUAAUAAAAGAAGAUGUCUUCAUA